UGGGGAAUUUUGGACAAUGGGCGAAAGCCUGAUCCAGCAAUGCCGCGUGUGUGAAGAAGGCCUUCGGGUUGUAAAGCACUUUUGUCCGGAAAGAAAUCCUUGGCUCUAAUACAGUCGGGGGAUGACGGUACCGGAAGAAUAAGCACCGGCUAACUACGUGCCAGCAGCCGCGGUAAUACGUAGGGUGCAAGCGUUAAUCGGAAUUACUGGGCGUAAAGCGUGCGCAGGCGGUUUGCUAAGACCGAUGUGAAAUCCCCGGGCUCAACCUGGGAACUGCAUUGGUGACUGGCAGGCUAGAGUAUGGCAGAGGGGGGUAGAAUUCCACGUGUAGCAGUGAAAUGCGUAGAGAUGUGGAGGAAUACCGAUGGCGAAGGCAGCCCCCUGGGCCAAUACUGACGCUCAUGCACGAAAGCGUGGGGAGCAAACAGGAUUAGAUACCCUGGUAGUCCACGCCCUAAAACGAUGUCAACCAGUUGUUGGGGAUUCAUUUCCUUAGUAACGUAGCUAACGCGUGAAGUUGACCGCCUGGGGAGUACGGUCGCAAGAUUAAAACUCAAAUGAAUUGACGGGGUCAUAGCUGUUUCCU
RNAcentral lists this ribosomal RNA (586 nucleotides) under uncultured bacterium. RNAcentral's name for it is "partial 16S ribosomal RNA". It matches the Rfam family "Bacterial small subunit ribosomal RNA", at positions 355 to 1375 of the family's 1533-position model. The record is from RNAcentral.